CUGUGUUGCUUUUGCUUUUCAGUAAUUGGGAGUUGUCGUAACGCUCGCCGCUAACGGAGCAUUGCGGUUUUCUAUGUUUAUAAGUUUAUUAUUUUCUAUUAGGUGCUGAUAGGUAAAAUCUAACCACCGAACAGUUUUGACUUAGUUAUGAUUCUGUUUUGUCACCAUUACCACGUAGCCAUGUAAAUAAGAAGGAAGGGGUAAGGAUUACAAACGAAAAUGCAAAAAAGGAUGUUAAUUUGUAUGCAUGUAUGUGAAUAAGUUAAAAAAAAAACAAUGAAGAAUUUAUAAAGUACACCAUACAUAAAAUGUGCGUGGAACUGGAGACCAGUAUAUAAACGUGUUAAGACAAACUCUGCAUUGCACAAUGUGUCAAUUUUGGGUGGAACGGAUUAGAUGUCGCUGUUGCGGUCAACUUAGAAAGUACGGAUCAAAAGGUGAAGGUCAAAAAAUAGUGUAUAUUUAGUUUCUGCCAUUGACAAUAUAGUUUGAAAUAUAUAAUUAUGUAAACAUUUGGUUAUGGGAAAUAUUCUAUACAAUAUGGACUAGACACUAAUUAUAAAAAUAGCUAAACUAUAUUAAAAAAUGUAUUAAAGCGAGUCAAUUAUCUUCCAUUAAAUUAGUAAUAUUGUAUGCAGUUAUUUGUCCAAUAAUGCAGUUCAUAUGACAUGGCCUUAUCUUCAAUAAAUAUGUAUGUAUAUACAGAUAUGUGAACAUACUAUAUACAAGUA
Molecule: long non-coding RNA, 731 nt
Organism: Bactrocera latifrons
Lineage: Eukaryota; Metazoa; Arthropoda; Insecta; Diptera; Tephritidae
Exons: 2
Source: RefSeq, a predicted model, not a curated record